RNAcentral lists this small RNA (540 nucleotides) under Pan troglodytes (chimpanzee). RNAcentral's name for it is "retained intron". Lineage: Eukaryota; Metazoa; Chordata; Mammalia; Primates; Hominidae. The record is from RNAcentral.
AUAAGAAAUGAACAAAUGACUUUUGCACACAGACCUUACUGGGCAGAGCUGUUUCGUUGUGAUCAUGAAGCCACUCCUUUGUUUUGCCUGCUUGUGUUCCUGCCAGGUAACGAUGACUCGGACAUAGACAUCCAGGAGGACGAUGAAUCCGACAGUGAGUUGGAAGAAAGGCGGCUGCCCAAGCCACAGACAGCCAUGGAGAUGCUCAUGCAAGGAAGACCUGGCAAACGCAUUGUGGGCACGAUGCAAGGUGGAGACUCCGAUGACAAUGUAAGUCCCCCGCUCCCCCCAGUGGUUCUGUGCACUCUGGGUUUGGCUGUCCCCAUAGAUGGGAGUGGCUGAGUUGCUGUCAGCAGCCAGGGAGCCGUCUAUGGUCAGCCCGGCCGUGCCUCGAUGCAUGGCAGGGUUUGGCCUCAUGAGGCUCUGGACUCUUCCUUGCUCGUGGAUGGCUCAUCUCUUUUCAAGUGAAUGUGCUUGCUCUGCUUUUUUCGCCUUCUCACUGUUAUUUCCAUUCUCGCUUUCCAAAGAUGGAAGCAGCAC